GAUGAACGCUGGCGGCGUGCUUAACACAUGCAAGUCGAGCGAAGCAUUUAGGAUGAUCUCUUCGGAUUGAGUCUUAUAUGACUGAGCGGCGGACGGGUGAGUAACGCGUGGGUAACCUGCCUCAUACAGGGGGAUAGCAGUUAGAAAUGACUGCUAAUACCGCAUAAGCGCACAGGGCUGCAUGGCCUGGUGUGAAAAACUCCGGUGGUAUGAGAUGGACCCCGCGUCUGAUUAGCUAGUUGGAGGGGUAACGGCCCACCAAGGCGACGAUCAGUAGCCGGCCUGAGAGGGUGAACGGCCACAUUGGGACUGAGACAC
Molecule: ribosomal RNA, 318 nt
Filed under: uncultured bacterium
Lineage: Bacteria
Description: bacterial SSU rRNA
Rfam family: Bacterial small subunit ribosomal RNA
Source: RNAcentral